This is a long non-coding RNA of Xiphophorus hellerii (green swordtail), 3488 nucleotides long. RefSeq lists it as uncharacterized. The transcript is spliced from 4 exons. The record is from RefSeq and is a predicted model, not a curated record. NCBI's taxonomy places the organism in Eukaryota, Metazoa, Chordata, Actinopteri, Cyprinodontiformes, Poeciliidae.
UGGCUCUCAGGAUAUGAACUCACCAAUCAGAAGUCCAGGUCUAGAAUUUAAACCCACAGGUGUUGUUUUCAGCGGUCAACCAAUCAGAAAGCAGCAUGUAAAUUCGGGUCUUUGCUGACUUCCCUGUCCUGAGUUGAAACUAGGAACCUUUUUCUGCCUCAGCGAGGAGACGAUCAGAUCAGACUGAAGCUGAGUGGAAACAACCUGAAGGUUCAGAGGCUGCAGUGCUGCACCUGCACCUCCAGGGGGCGGUCUGAGCUCCUGCACAGCUGAGCAGGAUAAACAGGAGGUGAAAUGCAUCGUUCAAAGAAUUACGACUCCGGAGAAAACUGUUGAUGAGCCUGAAAACCGGCCGUCAUGAAAAGCUGAAUGUAGAAGUUCACACCCCAUGGGUAAAAAGGAGGACACUUUAACGACUACGAAUGGCUCUGCAACAAGAGGCUCAAGUUCAUGGAAAAUACAACACAAGCCUGCGUGGACCAGCACCAGUGCAACGAGAAGGCCUUAAACUCAGUGGGGAAAGCAGAAAUCUGUCUGCGUGAGAACUUGCAGAACCGAUUCAAGGACAUGAACUCCACUGUUCUUCAUGCAACCAAACUGGAGGAUCUGAAGUCUAUGGUAAAACAUUGUGAAGGUAAAUACUUUGUCAUAAUAUCUUUCAACAUUAAGAUCAUUUUCACAUUUGGAUGUUUAUGUAGUAUAACUACAUAUUUGUAAGGAAAAUACUUUUUGAAUGUUGGGGUUGUGUAGACUGUUAAAGUUUGAAGUUAAUAGUUAGUUAAAAAUAACUUAUUGCACCACACAUCUGUUAAGGUGUCCAUGCUGUUAUGUUAAAUUGGUUUGUGUACGUACAUAUUUAUGGUAAACUUAUUUAUAAGGGAGCAUGAUAAUUAUCUAGAAAUUAUGACGUUAUUCUUAUCGUUCGGCUGUCAAUACGAAUAGCACUGAUAACAUAUUCAGUGUUGUGGUUCUUUUAAUCAAGCGGUCUCACCUGCACAAAGUUCAAGUGGUAUUUUCAUAAUGGGAGAAAACAACUUUCUGACUGGAAAUAAAUCAUUUCAAAAUCUCCUCACACCAGAAAACAGCUCUGAUCAUUUUAAUGUAGUUCCAAAAUGACAUAAAUUAUUCAAACAACAGAAAGGUAAACGUGAGGUCAGAACAACUCCCACUCUGAAAACUUCCAACACCUUGUGAAUGCAGCCCAGCUUGUCAGGAAAUAGAGAACAUGGAGGCUGAAGUUUGAACAUUUUUUAAGGUUUCAAAGGAAGACAAUCUGCUGGCUUUGAGUAACAAAUGUUGAAAAAAUCUUUUGGUAUGAGAAAACCAGCACAAUCUUUAGCAUGUUCAAUUUGAUCAGUCACCUUAAACACAGCUAUUGUUUUGACGGAGCGUUCAAAGCAUUUUAGGACGCCUCGAUGCUAAAGACAAUAGCAACAAGCCUCCAAGAAACCGUCGGGACUCCAUCCGCUUUUGACGAGAAUUUGCCCUUGAAGAAACAAGAGAUGAAGUGAUGAAAGAUCUCACGAUGGGAAUGACGGCGACUGAUGUUCUUCUACUAGAUAAGUAUGAUUUGACUUAAAAGCUUUGAUUGACAGCAAUAUUAAUAAUAUAAGCUUCUUCUUCUGCUAAUAAUGGCUUAGUGUAAUUGUGCCUUCACUGGUCUUUGCUUCAAGGAUAUAAGUGUUAUAAAUAUCUAUAAUUAUACAUUAGCAACAUAAAUGUGUCUUCUUUAAAUCUAACUCGUCUCAGCAUUUUCUAACUUGUGGGAUGCAUUUUUUUUUUUCAAUCAUAGUUAUUUUAAAUCCCUGAUUAAUUCAAGAAACCUUGUUUUUUUUUACAUCAGUAAUCAAUGAACCACAUUCAAAUAUAUGUGAAUUUGAGACUUUCUGUUCAGUUCUGUCAACUGUUUUUGGUCUUUAGAUUAUUGAUGUUACAGCCUUACAGUUUUGUUCACCAAUCUGUCAUUUCCAGGUAUGCUAUCGGCUAUUGGUGUUAUCUGUUAUAAGUGCUUGGAAUGAGAAAACUAUUGAUUACCAACAUCGGUUUAAAAAAAAGUUAUUGUGCUCCCCACAAUAGUAGAUGCUUUAUCUGACAGACAUAAGAAUAAAUCAUACGAUUUAUAUAAUUUGAUUGCGGGUAGAGUUUGUAGCCAAGGGAAGAAUUGCACUCAAAAUAGCAAAUUGUGUCUGGUGAAAUGUUUUUAUUUGCUCCCCUGCCUGGGAGAACUUUACACAGGUCUUAUGAUUAGUGCAGAGUUCUGUGAUGACCUCAGGUCUGGCUCUGGUUCUGAUUCCAAAGAGAAUCUCAACAGCCAACAGAAUGGGUCAGGAAGAACAACAGCAGAACUUCCUCUAAGCAGAACCAGUGCGUUUUUUGGUUGGUUCUGUUGCAUGUUGUGAAAGUCCAAAGCCCCCCUUAACGCUCCAUCUACCUUCAUCACAAAGUUAAAGCUGGGAGGAGCUGCUUCAGGUAACAGUGCUGCUUUGUUUUCUUUAAAUGAGGAUGAAAGUCCCACCUGAGUAGGUAACUGAGGCGACGCUGCCACACCUGGGGCCUUCAGGUAAGUCCUGCUGGUGUACCAAACCUUCUCAGUCUCCAGUGAUUCAGGGUGAGAUAUUAAUAUUCGCAACACGUAUGUGUUAAAUCUUCCACUGUGAAGUACAAACUGUAUGCGUUUGUGUGCUGAGGGUAGGCCUGCGUAUUGUGGCCCAUUUUCUUAAUAGAUUCAGUUCAGUUUGCUCUUAAAGAAUGAAAAUUACUGAACUGUUGCAAAAUACCUUUUCAUGUGGUUUCUACAAUAACUGACCUCUGCUUGGUAAAUCUUUCAGUUCACUUUGGAUUUUCCAGCUGUUUGUCAUUUCUUGUUUUAAAUCCAAAAUGGUUGCUGAUGUCAGAUCUUCGUUGGGGUCACUUGCUCAGUGCAGCGUUCUGCACAAGCGGCUGCUCUGUCUUUCAGCUUUAACCUGAUGUCACACAUUACUGUUGAACAGUCUCAUGUCCUACAAAUCAAUAUUGCUAAAUUUAAACGUGAUCAAUCCAAAAUGAUGUAAUUUUAUGCCAUACGAUUAAAGCAUGUUGCACAAAUAAACACAUCUCCAUAGGAGUAAUAAGAACGUUGCUGAUACUAAUUUUUUUUCUAGCUUUGACAGAAAAACAGGAUCCAUGACGAUAAUAAAAACAAAUUUUUGUUUUCACUGUUUGUAACAAAUUUUCUAUAUGCUUUUUAAAAGAAAUCUCUUUAUCUAAAAUAAAACCAAGAUAUUUAUAAUUACUGACAAACUCAAUUUGUGCACUGUUGAGGAAGAAUAAUUUAUAAAUUAACUUUGGAAAAAAAAGUUUGGCUCUGUCUUCCUCUGGAUCCCAGGUCCUCUCAGCGGGCGACGUGCGGCCACAAGGAAAACAACAAUGCAUGUUGACGUCACAGAAUUACAGAGUUUAAUCCCAUACAAAGCAACGCAUGAAUUAACAACAAAACCGCAGAGGAACAG